Molecule: ribosomal RNA, 427 nt
Filed under: uncultured bacterium
Lineage: Bacteria
Description: bacterial SSU rRNA
Rfam family: Bacterial small subunit ribosomal RNA
Source: RNAcentral
UAGGGAAUUUUCCGCAAUGGGGGGAACCCUGACGGAGCAACGCCGCGUGAGUGAGGACGGCCUUCGGGUUGUAAAGCUCUGUAAACGGGGAAGAAAAAAAUGACGGUACCCGUGAAGUAAGCCCCGGCUAACUACGUGCCAGCAGCCGCGGUAAUACGUAGGGGGCAAGCGUUGUCCGGAAUUAUUGGGCGUAAAGGGCGCGCAGGCGGUAGAUUAAGUCAGGUGUGAAAGGCUGGGGCUCAACCCCAGAGCUGCACCUGAAACUGAACUACUUGAGAGCAGGAGAGGGGAAUGGAAUUCCCGGUGUAGCGGUGGAAUGCGUAGAUAUCGGGAGGAACACCAGUGGCGAAGGCGAUUCCCUGGCCUGGGACUGACGCUGAGGCGCGAAAGCGUGGGGAGCAAACAGGAUUAGAUACCCCCGUAGUCC